AGCUGGAUAGCUCGGUUGGUUAGAGUGUGGUGCUAAUAACGCCAAGGUUGCAGGUUUGACCUUCCAACUCGAUGAUUUUGCUA
Podarcis lilfordi (Lilford's wall lizard) is the source of this 83-nucleotide non-coding RNA. NCBI's taxonomy places the organism in Eukaryota, Metazoa, Chordata, Lepidosauria, Squamata, Lacertidae. The record is from the annotation of a GenBank genome assembly.